GAUGAACGCUAGCGGCAGGCUUAACGCAUGCAAGUCGAGGGGUAUAGGGAGCUUGCUUCCUAGAGACCGGCGCACGGGUGCGUAACGCGUAUGCAAUCUACCUUUUGCAGAGGGAUAGCCCAGAGAAAUUUGGAUUAAUACCUCAUAGUAUAGCAGUUUCGCAUGAAACCACUAUUAAAGUCACAACGGCAAAAGAUGAGCAUGCGUCCCAUUAGCUUGUUGGUAAGGUAAUGGCUUACCAAGGCAACGAUGGGUAGGGGUCCUGAGAGGGAGGAUCCCCCACCACUGGUACUGAGACACGGACCAGACUCCUACGGGAGGGCAGCAGUGAGGAAUAUUGGACG
This 344-nucleotide ribosomal RNA is filed under the name uncultured bacterium. RNAcentral's name for it is "bacterial SSU rRNA". It matches the Rfam family "Bacterial small subunit ribosomal RNA", at positions 28 to 370 of the family's 1533-position model. The record is from RNAcentral.